GUAUAUAUUAUAGACACAACAUUCUAUUGACAUGCAUUGGGGUAAAUGAAGAAUCAACAUAGACACCUGGAAAGAUGUCUACAAAAGGUGCACAGGUGGAGAUAUAAAGAUGACAAGCGUGCACAUGCUCCCUAGAGAACCAGCAACAACUCAUCAGAUUUAUUUCAAUAAUGAUCCUUCCGCAGGUUCACCUACGGAAA
This 200-nucleotide unclassified non-coding RNA is filed under the name uncultured fungus. RNAcentral describes it as "sequence contains ITS1". Lineage: Eukaryota; Fungi. The record is from RNAcentral.